AUUGAACGCUGGCGGCAGGCCUAACACAUGCAAGUCGAGCGGAGCGGCGGACGGGUGAGUAAUGCCUAGGAAUCUGCCUGGUCGUGGGGGAUAACGUCCGGAACCGGGCGCUAAUACCGCAUCCUCUCAGAUUAGCCUAGGUCGGAUUAGCUAUUAGGUUGGGUAAAGGCUCACCUAGGCGACGAUCCCUAGCUGGUCUGGGAGGAUGACCAGCCACGAUGGAACUGAGACACCGGCCAGACUCCGACGGGAGGCGGGAGUGGGGAAUAUUGCUCAAUGGGAGCAAGCCUGAUGCAGGCAUGCCGCGUGUAUGAAGAAGGCCGUCGGGUUGUAAAGUACUUUCAGCGGGGAGGCGUUACACGAAGAAGAAGCACCGGCUAACUCCGUGCAGCCGCGGUAAUAC
This 403-nucleotide ribosomal RNA is filed under the name uncultured bacterium. Its description in RNAcentral is "partial 16S ribosomal RNA". It matches the Rfam family "Bacterial small subunit ribosomal RNA", at positions 30 to 526 of the family's 1533-position model. The record is from RNAcentral.